UGACCUCAAAUCAGGUAGGACUACCCGCUGAACUUAAGCAUAU
Molecule: ribosomal RNA, 43 nt
Filed under: Boletus edulis
Lineage: Eukaryota; Fungi; Basidiomycota; Agaricomycetes; Boletales; Boletaceae
Also listed under: 5 other names
Description: partial 28S ribosomal RNA
Source: RNAcentral